Molecule: unclassified non-coding RNA, 2323 nt
Filed under: Leishmania donovani
Lineage: Eukaryota; Euglenozoa; Kinetoplastea; Trypanosomatida; Trypanosomatidae
Description: gene:LdHU3.01.0490(CDS-product:Protein_of_unknown _function_(DUF791)_putative)
Source: RNAcentral
CGCGCUGCUGGGAUCUGUAUAACGUUCUAUCCGCGUUCGAUCCGCAUCUCUCGCCCUCUGCCUCGUCCCCUUCCCUCCUACUGCUCCUUGAAAACUCACCUGCUUCCUCAUUCCUGCGCACGCACGCACGCACGCGCUCUCCUCUCUCUACGCACCGCGCAGAGCUUCCUCAUCACCUGUGCGCCGCAGCCACACACACACACACGCAUACGCAUACGCAAGCGGCCACCGGUUCGUGCCUCGUUGCAUCCUGCGUUGUUUCUCUCGUUCUCGGGAGAGGGAUCGCUCUUAAGCCGUCGCCUUCUUGUUGUUGUUGGAAGCCCGCGCGGUGGAUGUGUUGCCGCUCUUGUGCUCGCCGCCGCAUCUUGUGCACUCGGAGCGGACGUUGCGAGGUCCAUCCGUCACCGUCGCGUCUCUCAUUUUCUCUUGCUGCGUAGAGAGUGAGGCACGCCAUACCCACCACACCUAUACAUACGUAGACAGGUGCACGGCACGCGCGCGAUGGAAGCGAACGUGACCGUCACCACCAAGCCGUACAAGCCGGCGGCGUCCAUCUAUGAUGCGUGGAAGGAGACGCUGCUGCCCUUUCUCGUCCCGGCGACGGUGCUCAGCGCCUGGCCCAUGAUCAUGCUUAUCCGAGAUCGCAAUCGCGUCCCGAUCAAGCUGCUCACGAUCGCCGCGCUCGUCUCGCUGGCCGACGGCCUCCUUGGCAGCUGCGCCUUCCCGCUGCAACAUCAAUACGCCUUCUCCCUCUCCGCGAACUCGGCCUUCUUCUAUGCAGGCACCGUCACCUACUGGCUUAGCGGCGCAGCCCUGAGUCCGCUGAUGGAGAUGUGGGGGUGCCAGCGCUCCUGCAUGGCGCUGGCCAUCGCGGGUGCUGCUGGUGCAUGGGGUAGUGGGCAGAGCAUCGCUCUCUUCGUUCUCUGUGGCCGUAUUGCCACCGCAGCAGCCACGUCUGGUCUCUCGACGUGGGUCGAGUGCGCGCUCUACCACGAGGCGCACGUGCACCAUUGCCCUUCCGCCGCCGCCGGCGAUGACAAGGGUAUGGUGGACAGCAACGGUGGUGAGGCGCUCGGCGGUAGCGGUGCGCUCACGAUCUUCCAUCAGGUACGUCCUGCCAUGUUGUUGUUUUCCAUGAUCGCGUCGCAGUACGUGAUGGCGGUGACGCCGACGGUGUCAGUGGCGCCGUGCUGGGUGGCGCUCCUGUGCUACAUAGGCGUGUUCGUCGUUGCCUGGGGCCUCGCUGCGCUACCUGCAACCUCGGCUGCCGGAUCGUCGUGGUGGACGGGAUCGAACCCCUUCCACGUAGCCGGCGGCGGCGGCAACGGCGUGCAUGCAAAGAACGCGAGCAGGAAAGAUGCCUCAUCGAGCACCUCGGAGUUUGAAAGCACGGUGGCGAUGCUACUGCCGGGCGUGGCGCUGAGCUGCUGCAGCGCGGGCGGCUCGCGACUGUCCUCGUCGAAGCACAUGCUGCGGCACUACGUGCACGCCUACAGCACCUCAAUCCGGACACUGUGCAUGCCGCGAUAUCUUGCCCGCCACAUCGUGGACAUCGUCUUUGGCGCCGCCUUCCUUACGGGAUCGCUGCUGUGGGUGCCAACGCUGGAGCUGUACGACGACAGCAUCCCGUUCGGCUUUGUGUUUGAACUGUUCAUGAUCGCCACCUUCCUCGGCAGCACCUUCUCGCUUCCGGUGUGGGCCGUCGGCGGCGCAGAGGCGGCGCUGGUGGUCCUCCUCAGCCUCAGCGAGCGCACGCUCUCCACCUCGCGCGACUACGCCAUCCCAGUGACGAUCAUGCUCGGCGGCAUCGUGCUGCACCUCACGCACGGCUGUGUCCUCACCAUGGGCAGCUUGUGGCGCGCCGAGUACCCGAUCUCUAGCGCGCCACUCACGCUCUUGUUCUUGCUAAAGGCCUCCACCGGCGUCCUCGGGUGGGUCUUCCUCAACGCCAUCGACGGCAAGUAUAUGGAGGACGCCUUCUUCUUUGAGGCGCAGUGGAUGUGGGUGCUGAUGUGGGUGGAGGCGGUGGCGCUGACGCAGUACAUCGUCGCGCGCAUGGCUCCCGGUUGUGGCCGCCACGCCAACGGCGCGGCCAUCGCGAAAGACGGCGGUGCGGCGCUGUUGCAGAAGCCGGAUAGCGGUAGCGUCAAGGACCUGAGCGGCAACGGUAUGAAGGAGACGGCGGUGGCAGGGGGGCCAACGGUGCGUCUCCAGACCGACAUGCUCUCGCACGCGCCGUUCAACGGCGCGGAGACCGCGAAAAUGUAGAUGCCGUGUUACUCGGCGAGGCUGCAGGAGCGGCGUUACGAAGCGCAGACCGCCG